Molecule: ribosomal RNA, 361 nt
Filed under: Escherichia coli
Lineage: Bacteria; Pseudomonadati; Pseudomonadota; Gammaproteobacteria; Enterobacterales; Enterobacteriaceae
Description: bacterial SSU rRNA
Rfam family: Bacterial small subunit ribosomal RNA
Source: RNAcentral
UUAAAUUGAAGAGUUUGAUCAUGGCUCAGAUUGAACGCUGGCGGCAGGCCUAACACAUGCAAGUCGAACGGUAACAGGAAUCAGCUUGCUGAUUCGCUGACGAGUGGCGGACGGGUGAGUAAUGUCUGGGAAACUGCCUGAUGGAGGGGGAUAACUACUGGAAACGGUAGCUAAUACCGCAUAACGUCGCAAGACCAAAGAGGGGGACCUUCGGGCCUCUUGCCAUCGGAUGUGCCCAGAUGGGAUUAGCUAGUAGGUGGGGUAACGGCUCACCUAGGCGACGAUCCCUAGCUGGUCUGAGAGGAUGACCAGCCACACUGGAACUGAGACACGGUCCAGACUCCUACGGGAGGCAGCAGUG